AACUACAUAUACGGACGCCGCCCCCUACUCUAAUACAUAACCUCAGGGCAAGAUGAUCGAGAGAUCUGAUUCGCUGCUUUUGUAAGUUGUUUUCCUUUUGUUGUUUGAUUAUACAAUGAUCAUCUCUGAAAGUUGUUUUCCUUUUGUUGUUUUAUUAUAUUUGAAUUGUGUGUUAGCCAUCAGUCCGCUCACUGUAUACAUCGAUCUCUCAUCUCCCUAUGUGGAUCGGAUCAUAACAUGUUGAUUGUUCAUAGCAAUUUUUGUGCACCUGUCACAAAUUUUUCGCCCUCUCUCGAAGCACAGCGAUCCUAAAGGUUGUGAAUAUUUGGAAAAUUUCUGUUGAUGAUUAUGGAGAGCAGUCUUUUGAUGGCAGUAAUUGAGGCACAAACAAACUCUGUCACACAUCCAUUUGAAGGCAGUAAUCGAGGAACAAACAAACUUGUCUGGCAAAGUUUGCAAAACAUGCAUCUAGUGGCUCAGACGUGCCCAACUGGAGGAUCAGGGUUUGGGUUCUUAAUUGCAAUGACGGGAAGAUAAAUUUUGUUGAAACAAGGUGCCGUAUGAAACAAGGUGCGUCGCUUUGAACUUAGGUCAAGGGAUGCACGCAGGUUUUACCAUGAUGCAGCUGCAAGGGAAAACCGAACUUGCAAUGAUAUGUUACCUGGCAGGUGGACAUGUGAAGUCAGUGAGAAGAGGAGCUCAAGUCCAUACCCCGAUUGCCUCAAGAAUAUGUAGGGCGAAGAUUGCACACACUGAGCAUAGUGAUUUCUAUGCAAAUGCUCCUAAUUAACUAGGCAUCUAUCAUUUACGUGUUCUAGGUCCACUUUUUUUAUGGUGGUGUUUUCUCAUUAACCAGAAUAUUGGUUGUUACAUGGAAGUUUACUUCUUCAUUCAAAAAGAGCCUUUAACAACCAUGUUGAUUGCUGUGUUGAUUAUUCAACCUUGGAGUUCUAAUUGUAACAUGUUGAUUGAUCAUAAUGUUUUAAUUUUUGUUUUCACUUUAAUUUGGGUACUAGUAAGAUGUAUUGAUAACAAAUAGAAUAUUUUUUUAUUGAUGCUCUGA
Molecule: long non-coding RNA, 1063 nt
Organism: Helianthus annuus (common sunflower)
Lineage: Eukaryota; Viridiplantae; Streptophyta; Magnoliopsida; Asterales; Asteraceae
Exons: 3
Source: RefSeq, a predicted model, not a curated record